RNAcentral lists this ribosomal RNA (621 nucleotides) under Schizopygopsis stoliczkai (false osman). RNAcentral's name for it is "partial 16S ribosomal RNA". It matches the Rfam family "Bacterial large subunit ribosomal RNA", at positions 1798 to 2621 of the family's 2925-position model. Lineage: Eukaryota; Metazoa; Chordata; Actinopteri; Cypriniformes; Cyprinidae. The record is from RNAcentral.
GCCUGUUUAACAAAAACAUCGCCUCCUGCAACACAACCAAGUAUAGGAGGUCCAGCCUGCCCAGUGACUACAAGUUCAACGGCCGCGGUAUUUUGACCGUGCAAAGGUAGCGCAAUCACUUGUCUCUUAAAUGGAGACCUGUAUGAAUGGCUAAACGAGGGCUUAACUGUCUCCCCCCUCCUGUCAGUGAAAUUGAUCUACCCGUGCAGAAGCGGGUGUAAUAAUACAAGACGAGAAGACCCUUUGGAGCUUAAGGUACAAAAAUCAACCACGUCAAGCAACUUAAUAAAGAGCAGAAACUUUGUGGGUAGUGAUUUUUUACCUUCGGUUGGGGCGACCACGGAGGAAAAAAGAGCCUCCAGGUGGACUGGGAAAACAUCCUAAAGCUAAGAGAGACAUCUCUAAGCCGCAGAACAUCUGACCAAUCAUGAUCCGGCUGACAAAGCCGAUCAACGAACCAAGUUACCCUAGGGAUAACAGCGCAAUCCUCUCCCAGAGUCCAUAUCGACGAGGGGGUUUACGACCUCGAUGUUGGAUCAGGACAUCCUAAUGGUGCAGCCGCUAUUAAGGGUUCGUUUGUUCAACGAUUAAAGUCCUACAUGAUCUGAGUUCAGACCGGAG